GAACGAAACUUCUUUAUCACCGAGUGCUUGCACUCACCGAUAAAGAGUUGAGUGGCGAACGGGUGAGUAACACGUGGGCAACCUGCCCAAAAGAGGGGGAUAACACUUGGAAACAGGUGCUAAUACCGCAUAACCAUAGUUACCGCAUGGUAACUAUGUAAAAGGUGGCUAUGCUACCGCUUUUGGAUGGGCCCGCGGCGCAUUAGCUAGUUGGUGGGGUAAAGGCUUACCAAGGCAAUGAUGCGUAGCCGAACUGAGAGGUUGAUCGGCCACAUUGGGACUGAGACACGGCCCAAACUCCUACGGGAGGCAGCAGUAGGGAAUCUUCCACAAUGGGCGAAAGCCUGAUGGAGCAACGCCGCGUGGGUGAAGAAGGUCUUCGGAUCGUAAAACCCUGUUGUUAGAGAAGAAAGUGCGUGAGAGUAACUGUUCACGUUUCGACGGUAUCUAACCAGAAAGCCACGGCUAACUACGUGCCAGCAGCCGCGGUAAUACGUAGGUGGCAAGCGUUAUCCGGAUUUAUUGGGCGUAAAGGGAACGCAGGCGGUCUUUUAAGUCUGAUGUGAAAGCCUUCGGCUUAACCGGAGUAGUGCAUUGGAAACUGGGAGACUUGAGUGCAGAAGAGGAGAGUGGAACUCCAUGUGUAGCGGUGAAAUGCGUAGAUAUAUGGAAGAACACCAGUGGCGAAAGCGGCUCUCUGGUCUGUAACUGAC
RNAcentral lists this ribosomal RNA (713 nucleotides) under uncultured Lactobacillus sp. RNAcentral's name for it is "bacterial SSU rRNA". It matches the Rfam family "Bacterial small subunit ribosomal RNA", at positions 64 to 744 of the family's 1533-position model. The record is from RNAcentral. Lineage: Bacteria; Bacillati; Bacillota; Bacilli; Lactobacillales; Lactobacillaceae.